UACGUAGGGCGCAAGCGUUGUCCGGAUUUACUGGGUUUAAAGGGUGCGUAGGCGGCUAGGUAAGUCGGCGAUGAAAUGUCAGGGCUUAACCUUGGCGCUGUUGUCGAUACUGCUUAGCUAGAGUUUUGGCGAGGUAGCUGGAAUGAGCGGUGUAGUGGUGAAAUACGUAGAGAUCGCUCAGAACACCGAUUGCGUAGGCAGGUUACUAGCCAAGGACUGACGCUGAGGCACGAAAGCGUGGGGAGCAAACAGG
This 253-nucleotide ribosomal RNA is filed under the name uncultured bacterium. RNAcentral describes it as "partial 16S ribosomal RNA". It matches the Rfam family "Bacterial small subunit ribosomal RNA", at positions 524 to 776 of the family's 1533-position model. The record is from RNAcentral.